GAUGAAGAACCCAGCGAAAUGCGAUAAGUAAUGUGAAUUGCAGAAUUCAGUGAAUCAUCGAGUCUUUGAACGCACAUUGCGCCCCCUGGUAUUCCGGGGGGCAUGCCUGUCCGAGCGUCAUUGCUGCCCUCAAGCACGGCUUGUGUGUUGGGCCUCCGUCCUCCUCCCGGGGGACGGGCCCGAAAGGCAGCGGCGGCACCGCGUCCGGUCCUCGAGCGUAUGGGGCUUCGUCACCCGCUCUUGUAGGCCCGGCCGGCGCUUGCCGACACAUCAAUCUUUUUUCCAGGUUGACCUCGGAUCAGGUAGGGAUACCCGCUGAACUUAAGCAUAUCAAUAAGCGGAGGA
This 345-nucleotide unclassified non-coding RNA is filed under the name soil metagenome. Its description in RNAcentral is "partial contains 5.8S ribosomal RNA, internal transcribed spacer 2, and large subunit ribosomal RNA". The stretch from base 1 to 120 matches the Rfam family "5.8S ribosomal RNA", at positions 35 to 154 of the family's 154-position model. The record is from RNAcentral.